CGCAAAUGAUAUAGUUAGAUAAUGAUGACACGUAAUAAUAAGCGAGUAUAUUUCUAAAGUUAAACACUUCAUUUACUUAUUUAAAGAACUCAGAUACUGCUUAAUUGUUUUUAUUUUGUUCCUUUCAGGCAUCAUUGACAUAAUGAUCAUGGAUAUUUUACUGAUGUCAUGACGUUGUGGAUAUGAUGACGAUCACAAUAAGAGAUUGAGACUAUUAGUUUACGACCAUUAGGUUGGUGAGAGGGCCACCAUGGCGUAAAUGAUAUAGUUAAUUAAGAUGAUGAUUAAAAUGAUGAUUAAGAUGUUGAUAAGAGAAUGAGACUAUUAAGUUUACGACCAUAGGCUAGUGAGCGGGCUGCCAUGGCGUAAAUGAUAUAGUUAAACAAUGAUGUCAAGUAAUAAUAAGUGAGUAUAUUUCUAAAGUUACGCUACAUUUACUUAUUUAAAGAACUCAGAUACUGCUUAAUUGUUUUUAUUUUGUUCCUUUCAGGCAUCAUUGACAUAAUGAUCAUGGAUAUUUUACUGAUGUCAUGACGUUGUGGAUAUGAUGACGAUCACAAUAAGAGAUUGAGACUAUUAGUUUGCGACCAUUAGGUUGGUGAGAGGGCCAACAUGGCGUAAAUGAUAUAGUUAAUUAACAUGAUGAUUAAAAUGAUGAUUAAGAUGAUGAUUAAGAUGAUGACUAAGAUGUUGAUUAAGAUGUUGAUUUGAGAAUGAGACUAUUAAGUUUACGACCAUAGGCUAGUGAGCGGGCUGCCAUGGCGUAAAUGAUAUAGUUAAACAAUGAUGUCAAGUAAUAAUAAGCAUCAUUGACAUAAUGAUCAUGGAUAUUUUACUGAUGUCAUGACGUUGUGGAUAUGAUGACGAUCACAAUA
Molecule: long non-coding RNA, 875 nt
Organism: Maniola jurtina (meadow brown)
Lineage: Eukaryota; Metazoa; Arthropoda; Insecta; Lepidoptera; Nymphalidae
Exons: 2
Source: RefSeq, a predicted model, not a curated record